UACGUAGGGUGCGGGCGUUAAUCGGAAUUACUGGGCGUAAAGCGUGCGUAGGCGGUUCUCCAAGUCCGUUGUGAAAGCCCCGGGCUCAACCUGGGAAUGGCAGUGGAAACUAGGGGACUGGAAUCUGGCAGAGGGGGGUGGAAUGCCGCGUGUAGCAGUGAAAUGCGUAGAGAUGCGGCGGAACACCGAUGGCGAAGGCAGCCCCCUGGGCUGAGAUUGACGCUCAGGCACGAAAGCGUGGGGAGCAAACAGG
RNAcentral lists this ribosomal RNA (253 nucleotides) under uncultured bacterium. Its description in RNAcentral is "partial 16S ribosomal RNA". It matches the Rfam family "Bacterial small subunit ribosomal RNA", at positions 524 to 776 of the family's 1533-position model. The record is from RNAcentral.